RNAcentral lists this transfer RNA (109 nucleotides) under Hadesarchaea archaeon. RNAcentral describes it as "tRNA-OTHER". It matches the Rfam family "tRNA". Rfam says of the family: Transfer RNA (tRNA) molecules are approximately 80 nucleotides in length. Their secondary structure includes four short double-helical elements and three loops (D, anti-codon, and T loops). Lineage: Archaea; Methanobacteriati; Hadarchaeota (SeqCode); Hadarchaeia (SeqCode). The record is from RNAcentral.
GGGCCCGUAGCUCAGCCAGGUCAGAGCGCCCGACGGUCCUGGACCGGGCGAGGCUCAUAGGCUUGGCUGGGAGACCGGGUGGUCGGGCGUUCGAAUCGCCCCGGGCCCA